AUUUGAUGGUGUGGGCAACUUGCACAAAGUUUCUUGAAACGUUCCCAAUAUUCAUACAAUGACUCUCCAUUGUUUUGUCUUAUACCACAGAUUUCCUUUCUAAUGUU
This 107-nucleotide small nucleolar RNA is filed under the name Ipomoea nil (Japanese morning glory). RNAcentral's name for it is "Plant small nucleolar RNA R71". It matches the Rfam family "Plant small nucleolar RNA R71". From Rfam's summary of the family: R71 is a member of the C/D box family of snoRNAs containing the C (UGAUGA) and D (CUGA) box motifs. Multiple nearly identical copies of this snoRNA have been identified in Arabidopsis, and it is thought to function as a 2'-O-ribose methylation guide for 18S ribosomal RNA. Lineage: Eukaryota; Viridiplantae; Streptophyta; Magnoliopsida; Solanales; Convolvulaceae. The record is from Rfam by way of RNAcentral.